Molecule: long non-coding RNA, 736 nt
Organism: Peromyscus maniculatus bairdii (prairie deer mouse)
Lineage: Eukaryota; Metazoa; Chordata; Mammalia; Rodentia; Cricetidae
Source: RefSeq, a predicted model, not a curated record
AUAUACUACAGAGUACCUUUCACAGUCUUUCUGAAGCUGCAGAGCUGUGGCAUAGAAGCUUUCUAGGAUAUGGAAGUUUGGUUUGUAUCAGGAAGAAAAUAGAUGCGAUAUACAUGUUUGGAUACUUCAUGAAUAUUAAUGAUAGUGCAUGAAAAUAACCAGAGAUGAGGGAGCAGAGCACUUGGCUGAUGGUGUUUAUUCCUGACAUUUUCUCUUCCUGGCCACAGUUCCUGAUUCAGGAGAACUACAGGCUUAGGGAUGAUGAAAUACAUCAAGGACAUCCUCAAAGAGAAGAUUACGUGAAGCAAUUGUCACUGCUUUGAAUCAACAGGAACUUUUAAGACAGCAUUCUUCUUCUGAAAAUGGAUCCUCAUUCUCUAGUCAUCUGGAAACCAUUUCUCAUGCAAAUAGUUGCCUUUAGGACCCACCAAAGUAGAACUUUGGCUGGAGCUCAUCAACUUCAAAUGAGAAGUAACACUUUCCAUAAGGAGCUCCUUGGCUCAUACUCUUCCAGCCCAGAAGCCUCAGGUUUCACUGGACAGUUGUACCAUCAGAGACCUUCAGUUGCCCAGGCUGCUAGGCCAACUGACAUCAGCACCAGGGUCAACAGAGAUCAAGGGAAGCAAGUGGGAUCCUUGCCAUGAAUGCCUUCUUCAGUGAAACUCUUUCUGAUAGAAAUAAAGCUAUAUCCUCAAGAAACAGUUGACAUGCAGAAUCAAAACAAACAGCACACGAG